CCUACGGGAGGCAGCAGUAGGGAAUCUUCCGCAAUGGGCGAAAGCCUGACGGAGCAACGCCGUGUGAGUGAUGAAGGUCUUCGGAUCGUAAAACUCUGUUAUUAGGGAAGAACAAACGUGUAAGUAACUGUGCACGUCUUGACGGUACCUAAUCAG
This 156-nucleotide ribosomal RNA is filed under the name uncultured Staphylococcus sp. RNAcentral's name for it is "partial 16S ribosomal RNA". It matches the Rfam family "Bacterial small subunit ribosomal RNA", at positions 338 to 486 of the family's 1533-position model. Lineage: Bacteria; Bacillati; Bacillota; Bacilli; Caryophanales; Staphylococcaceae. The record is from RNAcentral.